This 464-nucleotide ribosomal RNA is filed under the name uncultured bacterium. RNAcentral's name for it is "partial 16S ribosomal RNA". It matches the Rfam family "Bacterial small subunit ribosomal RNA", at positions 339 to 795 of the family's 1533-position model. The record is from RNAcentral.
CUACGGGCUGCAGCAGUGGGGAAUAUUGGACAAUGGGGGAAACCCUGAUCCAGCAAUGCCGCGUGUGUGAAGAAGGCCUGCGGGUUGUAAAGCACUUUCGGUUGGGAGGACUGCUUCUAGCACUAAUAUUGUUGGAAGUUGACGUUACCUCCAGAAGAAGCACCGGCUAACUCCGUGCCAGCAGCCGCGGUAAUACGGAGGUGCAAGCGUUAAUCGGAAUUACUGGGCGUAAAGCGCGCGUAGGCGGCUAGAUCAGUCGGGUGUGAAAGCCCCGGGCUUAACCUGGGAACUGCAUCCGAUACUGUCUAGCUUGAGUACAGGAGAGGAGAGUGGAAUUCCACAUGUAGCGGUGAAAUGCGUAGAUAUGUGGAGGAACACCAAUGGCGAAGGCAGCUCUCUGGCCUGAUACUGACGCUGAGGUGCGAAAGCGUGGGGAGCAAACAGGAUUAGAUACCCCCGUAGUC